Molecule: ribosomal RNA, 986 nt
Filed under: Acinetobacter sp.
Lineage: Bacteria; Pseudomonadati; Pseudomonadota; Gammaproteobacteria; Moraxellales; Moraxellaceae
Description: bacterial SSU rRNA
Rfam family: Bacterial small subunit ribosomal RNA
Source: RNAcentral
AACAAUGCGCAGCUUACACAUGCAAGUCGAGCGGGGAAGUAAGUUCGCUCUGCUACUUUAUACCUAGCGGCGGAACGGGUGAGUAAUGCUUAGGAGUCUGCCUAUUAGUGGGGGAGAACAUCUCGAAAGGGAUGCUAAUACCGCAUACGUCCUACGGGAGAAAGCAGGGGACCUUCGGGCCUUGCGCUAAUAGAUGAGCCUAAGUCGGAUUAGCUAGUUGGUGGGGUAAAGGCCUACCAAGGCGACGAUCUGUAGCGGGUCUGAGAGGAUGAUCCGCCACACUGGGACUGAGACACGGCCCAGACUCCUACGGGAGGCAGCAGUGGGGAAUAUUGGACAAUGGGGGGAACCCUGAUCCAGCCAUGCCGCGUGUGUGAAGAAGGCCUUUUGGUUGUAAAGCACUUUAAGCGAGGAGGAGGCUACCGAGAUUAAUACUCUUGGAUAGUGGACGUUACUCGCAGAAUAAGCACCGGCUAACUCUGUGCCAGCAGCCGCGGUAAUACAGAGGGUGCAAGCGUUAAUCGGAUUUACUGGGCGUAAAGCGCGCGUAGGUGGCCAAUUAAGUCAAAUGUGAAAUCCCCGAGCUUAACUUGGGAAUUGCAUUCGAUACUGGUUGGCUAGAGUAUGGGAGAGGAUGGUAGAAUUCCAGUGUAGCGGUGAAAUGCGUAGAGAUCUGGAGGAAUACCGAUGGCGAAAGCAGCCCAUCUGGGCCUAAUACUGACACUGGAGGUGCGAAAGCAUGGGGGAGCAACAGGAUUAGAUACCCCUGGUAGUCCAUGCCGUAACGAUGUCUACUAGCCGUUGGGGCCUUUGAGCUUUAGUGGCGCAGCUACGCGAUAGUAGACCGCCUGGGGGAGUACGUUCGCAGACUAAAACUCAAUGAUUUGACUGGGGCCGGCACAGCGGUGGAGCCAUGUGGAUUAAUUCGAAUGCCAUCGCGAAGAACCGUAGCUGGUCUGACUAGCUAGACGUACGGAAGAUGGAUG